Molecule: non-coding RNA, 1068 nt
Organism: Saimiri boliviensis boliviensis (Bolivian squirrel monkey)
Lineage: Eukaryota; Metazoa; Chordata; Mammalia; Primates; Cebidae
Source: RefSeq, a predicted model, not a curated record
CGGUGACCGACGCUUGGUCUCUGCGCGCGGGCGCCCCCUGGCGCGGGCUCCGGAGGUGGCCGAGAGCGGGACCCAGCGGAGGCUGAGCCCAGCGCCAAGGGCGACCAGUCCCCGCCGCCGCCGCUCCGCGGGAGAACCGUCUCGCUUAGUCCGCGCGCAAGCCCCAGUCCCUGGGAACAGACAAGGGGCCCCCGCAGCGCCUCACAAUCCCGACCAGGUCCAGCGGCGGCUGACUCGGCAGCGGAGGGCGCUGUUCCGCCGGGAUGGGCCCAUCAGCGGGAGGCGACGCCUCCCACCAGCAGGGGCAGGAGGAGCAGCGGGAGGGGCGCCGGCCGCCGUCCUGAGGCCUGGUUGAGCUCGCACUGACAAUCGCAGCCUCUGGACUCCGGGGCCCAGUAACCCGCAGGUCCCCGCGCUCCCCACCUGUGUUGCUGACGGUGACAUCGUCGGGGGAAGGGGGCGCGCCCUCCCAGAGGCUGAGGUCACGAGGGUAGCCGGGGUCCGGGCGCGCCGCCGCCUCGUCGUAGCGCCAGUACUGCCGGCCACGGACCAGGUCUUCCUCCAUCUCCUUGGAAACACGGAGCUCCUUCAGCAGGCACUCUCAGCCCACAGCCUGCUGGCUCCAGCACCCGGCCUCACUCCCAGCCUCUUCCCACCGCAGCAGCCUCUUCCCUCGGGACUCAGCCCAGGCGCCAGGACCCUUUGCAAGCCCAGCUCAUUGAUCCGUGAGCUGCCUGCCAGCUCCUGCUCCCGCUGCUGAGAGGCCAAAAGAGACCAAGACAGAGUCACAGCGUGGCAAGCACUGCAGGGAGGCACCGAUGACUCCAUGCCGAUCUGUUUCACAACCAGCUCUAAGGUCAGCAGUGUUCCGGCAGAUUCAUAGGUAACGACUUGGUGAACUGAAAAGCAAAUUUCUCUCGGUCCAUAAAGCCACUCGCUAAGUGUCUAAGCAUGAAACGUGAGUCCUGAGAGGAGUCGCAAACACGUUUUCAUUCACUUCUCACCAAACCUGUCUCCUAGGCCCAUUUUACAAAGGAGGAAACUGAGGGAUAGAGACUUCAAGGUAGU